Cinara cedri is the source of this 340-nucleotide non-coding RNA. NCBI's taxonomy places the organism in Eukaryota, Metazoa, Arthropoda, Insecta, Hemiptera, Aphididae. The record is from the annotation of a GenBank genome assembly.
GUUUACUAACGACGGCCAAUUUUAAAACUGCUUUCAUACGUUUAUACUAAAACGACAAAAUGUUCGAACCGCUCGCAUUUUGAUAAUGCAUGGUAAAUACCAUAACCAUUUUACUGUAACAGGUCGCAGUUUUGAUUGAUCAUUAUUAUAUUAUUGUUAACAGGCGCAGUCUUGGGACGUGGUCAGCCGAAUUUAGUCAAACCCUCCAAUCGCAGUGAAAAAAACAUAAAUUCGACGAAGCUUCUCUAUUGUAUAAAAUUCUUUAUAAAGUGCUGUUAACGGACACGGGCCGAUCCGCAAACAUUAUUUAACCAUUAUUUGACAAACAAAAAAAUACGCG